AAUAAUCUCAAGCAAAAGUACGCGAACGACUUCCAGCGAAAAUUUGCAAAAAAACAGCUGAUCUUUGUUUUGGUUGGUUUUUUAUUUGCUUGCUUGGGAAAACAGCCAUAACAAAUUACCGUGCAGGAAGCAACGAAUGUCAUCCGAGGCGCCAAGUCGCGCAAGGUGCUAGUCCCAGAUGGGAUCUCUACACUAAUGCUUAAGAUUCGGAUAUGCCUGGAGUCGAGUACCUUACAACUGUCCUCAGCCUGUCUGAACACUAUUAUAGUGCCCAAUGUUGGUAUUGUGAUCCCGCUACUGAAACCUGGAAAGGACACUAGAGUGGGAGAAUCGAACAGACCGAUCUCCCUUCUCUCAUCAGUAGCCAAGACGCAUGAGGGAUUACUUCUCCCGAUCCUCUCGUUGGACAAUUUCCAUUCGCCGAGCAACAGCAUGUAUUGCAACGUUCUCAAGUCCCUUGCUGACAAAGAAACCUUGGUCUAACAAUAUAAUGCUUCUAGAUAUUGUGGCUUGACAUAUCGCUACGACCACUGAUGUGAGGAUAAGGGAGCUUUCGAUUUGAUCAUGUAGCGGCUACGGACACUUGAACUGUACCUAAACACCGGCUGCUGCCUUGAAUCUUCAUUAAAACUUUUGUAUUUUCAUGUAACGGCUGCUUUUCAUAAAACAGCUGACCUUUACAAAAUUCUGCUGGCAAAAAAAGUCCCAGUGAAAAUUUUCAAGUUCUCUAUUUUUGAACUGUCAAAAUUUUACCUCUCUGCGCUCUCUUCUGCUGUCAAAUAGAGCAAUCGAACGACUUCCAGUAAAAAUUUGUGCAAAUUUGCAAAUUUUUUUUAGUUCCCGCACAGCUAAAGCUAUGACGAAAUUUUUAACGGAAGUCAUUAAGUCAUAACGCGCAACUGUUUUAAAACAAAAUUUAAUAAAUAUUCCAAAACACUUUUUUGUUACUCGUCCAGGAUCUUCUAAGACUAUUCUGAAUUACUCGUAAGCAAAUCAUAUGGAAGAUUCACGGCAGCUGAUUGUACAUACAGGAUUGACCCGAUGGAAUCCUUCAUCGGCAAGGGCUGCCGCCUCAGUAUAAAACACACUGCUCAACGACAACAUUCGCGGAAUACUCUUCCAGAAGAUUCGUUUUGAGGACAUAACUCCUCACUGUAUGUGCCACUGUAGGUAACUUGUAUCUUAUGCUGAAAAGAGCUACUGCUGUCUUACGCGAAUUUUCGCCUAGACCACUUCCCGAAGUAUAUAUCUACGAGUGCUGGGAAACUAUCCCCUAACGAAGCGGAUCCAGAAUUUGGCGUCGGAUUCGCACUCUACUUACAAAUUCCACGGAAGCCGGUUGUACAUACCGGAUUAAACCGAUAAAUUCCUUCAUCUGCAAGGGCUGCUGCCUCAGUGUAUAACACUGCUACAACAACAACAAAACCCCUUUUUUGAGUCCUGCAUUGGUUUGAUAAAUUUACUUCUGGGUUCAUACGAUUUUGGAGGUGCGUCAACACCUGAGACUUGCUCCCAAGUUCAGAUUCAUACUUAACUCACUAAUAGCUUUUAUUUGAGGAAAUCCGAUUCAGUCACCCAAUAAAGCUAUAUUCAAAAUUUCGGAGCUCUAACCCCUACCAUAAGUUCGUUUUUAUAAAAAGUAAAAAAUUAGUAAAAUCUGUGCUAACUAAAUACGAGGAUGCUAACACAAAGUCUUACCAAUUCAAAACAUUCCUUGACUAUUGAUCCAUGUCCGUAAAAAAUCAGUUGCAAGCUGUAUGAAUUCCACGAAAAUGGGCCAAAAUACCCGCAGAUUACGUCCAGUCUGGCACUUCGUUUUUUGACCGACUUAGAGCAGGUCAUAUCGCAAAAGUGAAUGGAUUUUGGAAUCAUCAAAAAACAUUUUUACACAAAAAAAUGUGACCGUUUGAAUGGGUAAAACUUCGUGUCAGCUAUCCGUUAGAUCUUAAUAUAGCUUUCUACUUGUACUAAA
Molecule: long non-coding RNA, 1972 nt
Organism: Stomoxys calcitrans (stable fly)
Lineage: Eukaryota; Metazoa; Arthropoda; Insecta; Diptera; Muscidae
Exons: 3
Source: RefSeq, a predicted model, not a curated record